Molecule: long non-coding RNA, 1086 nt
Organism: Uranotaenia lowii
Lineage: Eukaryota; Metazoa; Arthropoda; Insecta; Diptera; Culicidae
Exons: 3
Source: RefSeq, a predicted model, not a curated record
ACCUCUUAUGUGCGCGAAAGUUUUGUUGCUAAGUCUCAAACCGACGCCGUUUACACCGAUUUGUCAGCAACAUUUGAUAAGGUGAACCACGGUAUUUCCAGUGGUAAGCUUGGACGCUUAGGAUUCUGUGGACCUUAACUUGGCUGGUUCCGCAGUUACUAAACUGGACGGAAAUUGACAGUUCGCACAGGAGACUCUAUAUCCAGCCAGUUUUCUGCCUCCUCCGGUGUGCCCCAAGGUAGUCACCUAGGACCGAUUGUCUUCUUAAUCUUUCUAACGAUUUGCUCUCCCUCCUCGACGUUUCGAAACUUUGUUAUGCGGAUAAUCUUCAACUGUUCUACACCACGUGUAUUUCUAGGGGUUGAACUAUUCCUCAGGAAGGCGAGACCAUUAACCAGAAGGCGAAAAGCACGCAGCCAUCACUGCCGGUUCCACUACUCACCACCAGAGACCGUAAGCUAACUGAGAGAAGCGAAGAGGCGAAACAACCAGAUUAGACGAGGCAAGAAAAGGCGCGAGGCGAGAGCAAUGACCGGCUGGAGUUCAAAGCCUGCCGAUAAUAACGUCCAUCGGCAUUUUGGAUUCAAACUCUGGCGAAACAACAGUGGACCAAAUAAAAAGUCGUUAUAAAACCAGGUGAAAAAACAUUUGGACAUCAGGACCUCGUUAUUUUUGGACAGAAUUACAACCCUGAUUCUUCGCCUUCAAUUCGAUUUGAAUUCACCGUUACACCCGUCUGUACGCCGCUGCUUGGAGGUUAUAUCUGCCGCUACACUAGGAUAAACCCCUCGGCGGCUUUGGAGAUUCAAAUCUUCCGACAUUCGGAUUUGAAUCAGCCGUUGAACUUGCCGCAUCGCAUCCGUUGCUGGUUCAAGCUGAAUUCCCACCGACAAACUUCGGAUCAGGCCAACAACAACUCCGAGUCUGGUUCAGCACCCAAGGUGGGGCCAGGUACACAACUCACCGUACGAUCGCCACGCCUCUACAAGAAUCGUUUCACCGAGGACCGCAACGAGGAUUGGAUCCAGGUGAUAGCAGCCAACAGGUCAGAUACAAACCUAUUUUGUUAAGUGAUUAAAAUGGUGG